Molecule: long non-coding RNA, 274 nt
Organism: Arabidopsis thaliana (thale cress)
Lineage: Eukaryota; Viridiplantae; Streptophyta; Magnoliopsida; Brassicales; Brassicaceae
Product: other RNA
Exons: 1
Source: RefSeq
CAUGUCUGGAUGCUGUUUUUGUGGCUUCAGUUUGUGAUUCCUGGUUAUUACCAUAAACACGCUUAGAGAACAGAAAAUGGCGGCCUUGGCUUUUUUAGUCUUUCCAAAGACAACUCUCCCUUUCUUGAAUAGAAUUCCAUGCAGUGAUCUAUUGUAUUCUUACGUUCCAUUUGUCUGAGAAUGUUUUACAGAACUUGGUUCUCAAUCACUGCAUUAUCUAUAUAGUUCUGAAUCAUCGGUUUUGAGAAUGGUGGUGCUGCUACGGCUAUUUUAU